This 467-nucleotide ribosomal RNA is filed under the name uncultured bacterium. RNAcentral describes it as "partial 16S ribosomal RNA". It matches the Rfam family "Bacterial small subunit ribosomal RNA", at positions 28 to 507 of the family's 1533-position model. The record is from RNAcentral.
GACGAACGCUGGCGGCGUGCUUAACACAUGCAAGUCGAACGGAAAGGCCCUGCUUUUGUGGGGUGCUCGAGUGGCGAACGGGUGAGUAACACGUGAGUAACCUGCCCUUGACUUUGGGAUAACUUCAGGAAACUGGGGCUAAUACCGGAUAGGAGCUCCUGCUGCAUGGUGGGGGUUGGAAAGUUUCGGCGGUUGGGAUGGACUCGCGGCUUAUCAGCUUGUUGGUGGGGUAGUGGCUUACCAAGGCUUUGACGGGUAGCCGGCCUGAGAGGGUGACCGGCACCAUUGGGACUGAGAUACGGCCAAGCCUCCUACGGGAGGCAGCAGUGGGGAAUAUUGCACAAUGGGCGGAAGCCUGAUGCAGCAACGCCGCGUGCGGGAUGACGGCCUUCGGGUUGUAAACCGCUUUCGCCUGUGACGAAGCGUGAGUGACGGUAAUGGGUAAAGAAGCACCGGCUAACUACGUG